RNAcentral lists this ribosomal RNA (429 nucleotides) under Chloroflexota bacterium. Its description in RNAcentral is "Chloroflexi bacterium partial 16S ribosomal RNA". It matches the Rfam family "Bacterial small subunit ribosomal RNA", at positions 355 to 776 of the family's 1533-position model. The record is from RNAcentral. Lineage: Bacteria; Bacillati; Chloroflexota.
UGGGGAAUAUUGCACAAUGGGCGCAAGCCUGAUGCAGCCAUGCCGCGUGUAUGAAGAAGGCCUUCGGGUUGUAAAGUACUUUCAGCGGGGAGGAAGGGAGUAAAGUUAAUACCUUUGCUCAUUGACGUUACCCGCAGAAGAAGCACCGGCUAACUCCGUGCCAGCAGCCGCGGUAAUACGGAGGGUGCAAGCGUUAAUCGGAAUUACUGGGCGUAAAGCGCACGCAGGCGGUUUGUUAAGUCAGAUGUGAAAUCCCCGGGCUCACCCUGAGAACUGCUGCUGAUACUGGCAAGCUUGAGUCUCGUAGAGGGGGGUAGAAUUCCAGGUGUGGCGGUGAAAUGCGUAGGGAUCUGGAGGAAUACCGGUGGCGAAGGCGGCCCCCUGGACGAAGACUGACGCUCAGGUGCGAAAGCGUGGGGAGCAAACAGG